This 792-nucleotide ribosomal RNA is filed under the name uncultured bacterium. RNAcentral's name for it is "bacterial SSU rRNA". It matches the Rfam family "Bacterial small subunit ribosomal RNA", at positions 1 to 790 of the family's 1533-position model. The record is from RNAcentral.
UAGAGUUUGAUCCUGGCUCAGGAUGAACGCUAGCGGCAGGCUUAACACAUGCAAGUCGAGGGGCAUCGGGAGGGAAGCUUGCUUUCCUUGCCGGCGACCGGCGCACGGGUGAGUAACACGUAUGCAACCUGCCCUCUUCAGGGGGACAACCUUCCGAAAGGGGGGCUAAUCCCGCGUAUAUCGGUUUCGGGCAUCCGAGAUCGAGGAAAGAUUCAUCGGAAGAGGAUGGGCAUGCGGCGCAUUAGCUUGACGGCGGGGUAACGGCCCACCGUGGCGACGAUGCGUAGGGGUUCUGAGAGGAAGGUCCCCCACACUGGUACUGAGACACGGACCAGACUCCUACGGGAGGCAGCAGUGAGGAAUAUUGGUCAAUGGGAGAGAUCCUGAACCAGCCAAGCCGCGUGAGGGAAGACGGCCCUAUGGGUUGUAAACCUCUUUUGUCGGAGAACAAAACCCGGGACGUGUCCCGGACUGCGUGUAUCCGAAGAAAAAGCAUCGGCUAACUCCGUGCCAGCAGCCGCGGUAAUACGGAGGAUGCGAGCGUUAUCCGGAUUUAUUGGGUUUAAAGGGUGCGUAGGCGGUCCGUUAAGUCAGCGGUAAAAUUGCGGGGCUCAACCCCGUCGAGCCGUUGAAACUGGCAGACUUGAGUUGGCGAGAAGUACGCGGAAUGCGCGGUGUAGCGGUGAAAUGCAUAGAUAUCGCGCAGAACUCCGAUUGCGAAGGCAGCGUACCGGCGCCACACUGACGCUGAGGCACGAAAGCGUGGGGAUCGAACAGGAUUAGAUACCCUGG